RNAcentral lists this ribosomal RNA (1517 nucleotides) under uncultured Acinetobacter sp. RNAcentral's name for it is "bacterial SSU rRNA". It matches the Rfam family "Bacterial small subunit ribosomal RNA". Lineage: Bacteria; Pseudomonadati; Pseudomonadota; Gammaproteobacteria; Moraxellales; Moraxellaceae. The record is from RNAcentral.
AGAGUUUGAUCAUGGCUCAGAUUGAACGCUGGCGGCAGGCUUAACACAUGCAAGUCGAGCGGGGGAAGGUAGCUUGCUACUGGACCUAGCGGCGGACGGGUGAGUAAUGCUUAGGAAUCUGCCUAUUAGUGGGGGACAACAUCUCGAAAGGGAUGCUAAUACCGCAUACGUCCUACGGGAGAAAGCAGGGGAUCUUCGGACCUUGCGCUAAUAGAUGAGCCUAAGUCGGAUUAGCUAGUUGGUGGGGUAAAGGCCUACCAAGGCGACGAUCUGUAGCGGGUCUGAGAGGAUGAUCCGCCACACUGGGACUGAGACACGGCCCAGACUCCUACGGGAGGCAGCAGUGGGGAAUAUUGGACAAUGGGGGGAACCCUGAUCCAGCCAUGCCGCGUGUGUGAAGAAGGCCUUAUGGUUGUAAAGCACUUUAAGCGAGGAGGAGGCUACUCUAGUUAAUACCUAGGGAUAGUGGACGUUACUCGCAGAAUAAGCACCGGCUAACUCUGUGCCAGCAGCCGCGGUAAUACAGAGGGUGCGAGCGUUAAUCGGAUUUACUGGGCGUAAAGCGUGCGUAGGCGGCUUAUUAAGUCGGAUGUGAAAUCCCCGAGCUUAACUUGGGAAUUGCAUUCGAUACUGGUGAGCUAGAGUAUGGGAGAGGAUGGUAGAAUUCCAGGUGUAGCGGUGAAAUGCGUAGAGAUCUGGAGGAAUACCGAUGGCGAAGGCAGCCAUCUGGCCUAAUACUGACGCUGAGGUACGAAAGCAUGGGGAGCAAACAGGAUUAGAUACCCUGGUAGUCCAUGCCGUAAACGAUGUCUACUAGCCGUUGGGGCCUUUGAGGCUUUAGUGGCGCAGCUAACGCGAUAAGUAGACCGCCUGGGGAGUACGGUCGCAAGACUAAAACUCAAAUGAAUUGACGGGGGCCCGCACAAGCGGUGGAGCAUGUGGUUUAAUUCGAUGCAACGCGAAGAACCUUACCUGGCCUUGACAUACUAGAAACUUUCCAGAGAUGGAUUGGUGCCUUCGGGAAUCUAGAUACAGGUGCUGCAUGGCUGUCGUCAGCUCGUGUCGUGAGAUGUUGGGUUAAGUCCCGCAACGAGCGCAACCCUUUUCCUUACUUGCCAGCAUUUCGGAUGGGAACUUUAAGGAUACUGCCAGUGACAAACUGGAGGAAGGCGGGGACGACGUCAAGUCAUCAUGGCCCUUACGGCCAGGGCUACACACGUGCUACAAUGGUCGGUACAAAGGGUUGCUACACAGCGAUGUGAUGCUAAUCUCAAAAAGCCGAUCGUAGUCCGGAUUGGAGUCUGCAACUCGACUCCAUGAAGUCGGAAUCGCUAGUAAUCGUGGAUCAGAAUGCCACGGUGAAUACGUUCCCGGGCCUUGUACACACCGCCCGUCACACCAUGGGAGUGGGUUGCAAAAGAAGUAGGUAGCUUAACCUUCGGGAGGGCGCUUACCACUUUGUGAUUCAUGACUGGGGUGAAGUCGUAACAAGGUAACCGUAGGGGAACCUGCGGUUG